RNAcentral lists this ribosomal RNA (301 nucleotides) under uncultured bacterium. RNAcentral's name for it is "partial 16S ribosomal RNA". It matches the Rfam family "Bacterial small subunit ribosomal RNA", at positions 509 to 807 of the family's 1533-position model. The record is from RNAcentral.
CAGCAGCCACGGGAAUGCGUAGGUGGCAAGCGUUGUCCGGAAUUAUUGGGCGUAAAGGGCUCGCAGGCGGUUUCUUAAGUCUGAUGUGGAAGCCCCCGGCCCAACCGGGGAGGGUCAUUGGAAACUAGGAAACUUGAGUGCAGAAGAGGAGAGUGGAAUUCCAUGUGUAGCGGUGAAAUGCGUAGAGAUGUGGAGGAACACCAGUGGCGAAGGCGACUCUCUGGUCUGUAACUGACGCUGAGGAGCGAAAGCGUGGGGAGCGAACAGGAUUAGAUACCCCGGUAGUCCCUGUCUCUUAUAC